UGGGGAAUCUUGCUCAAUGGGCGCAAGCCUGAUGCAGCCAUGCCGCGUGAGUGAUGAAGGCCCUAGGGUUGUAAAGCUCUUUCAGUGGGGAAGAUAAUGACGGUACCCACAGAAGAAGCCCCGGCUAACUCCGUGCCAGCAGCCGCGGUAAUACGGAGGGGGCUAGCGUUGUUCGGAAUUACUGGGCGUAAAGCGCACGUAGGCGGACUAUUAAGUCAGGGGUGAAAUCCCGGGGCUCAACCCCGGAACUGCCUUUGAUACUGGUAGUCUUGAGUUCGAGAGAGGUGAGUGGAAUUCCGAGUGUAGAGGUGAAAUUCGUAGAUAUUCGGAGGAACACCAGUGGCGAAGGCGGCUCACUGGCUCGAUACUGACGCUGAGGUGCGAAAGCGUGGGGAGCAAACAGGAUUAGAUACCCCCGUAGUCC
This 424-nucleotide ribosomal RNA is filed under the name uncultured prokaryote. RNAcentral describes it as "bacterial SSU rRNA". It matches the Rfam family "Bacterial small subunit ribosomal RNA", at positions 355 to 796 of the family's 1533-position model. The record is from RNAcentral.